RNAcentral lists this ribosomal RNA (496 nucleotides) under uncultured bacterium. Its description in RNAcentral is "partial 16S ribosomal RNA". It matches the Rfam family "Bacterial small subunit ribosomal RNA", at positions 29 to 507 of the family's 1533-position model. The record is from RNAcentral.
AUGAACGCUGGCGGCGUGCCUAAUACAUGCAAGUCGAGCGAACAGAUGAGGAGCUUGCUCCUCUGACGUUAGCGGCGGACGGGUGAGUAACACGUGGAUAACCUACCUAUAAGAUUGGGAUAACUUCGGGAAACCGGAGCUAAUACCGGAUAAUAUAUUGAACCGCAUGGUUCAAUAGUGAAAGACGGUUUUGCUGUCACUUAUAGAUGGAUCCGCGCCGCAUUAGCUAGUUGGUAAGGAAACGGCUUACCAAGGCAACGAUGCGUAGCCGACCUGAGAGGGUGAUCGGCCACACUGGAACUGAGACACGGUCCAGACUCCUACGGGAGGCAGCAGUAGGGAAUCUUCCGCAAUGGGCGAAAGCCUGACGGAGCAACGCCGCGUGAGUGAUGAAGGUCUUCGGAUCGUAAAACUCUGUUAUUAGGGAAGAACAAAUGUGUAAGUAACUAUGCACGUCUUGACGGUACCUAAUCAGAAAGCCACGGCUAACUACGUG